GUUCUAGUUAGUUAGCUAAUAACAUUGAUUUAAAGUAUAAGCAGUUAUUAUAAAUAUGUAUUUAAUCUACAUACACUUACUGCCUUAGAUAAUGUAGGAAAAAAAGUGCGUAAUAUUAAACAUCACUGUUAUCAAAUUUCAGAUCACAAAGGAGCUGACUGGCCAUGGCAGGGGGACAGCUCUUUGGGUGACCUCCAUUGACAACGAGGUUGGCUGGAUCCAACCAGUGUCAUGACAGUGCAGGAGUGGCUGGGACUGGACAGGAUGGCGUGAUUGAGCGGUACCGCAACGCAGCUGUUCCACACACAGUCCUGCUAUACAUGGACUUUAGCUGCUGCGUGAGUGAGGGGGCGAGCAAGCUGCAGACCAGGUUUGCGGAGUGGCCAGACCUCCACAGGUGUCCCAGCCUCUCCUGAUGAGCCUGGGGCUGUGGAUGACUCUGGCGUGCCAGGCAUGGACCGAGUUGACAGCAUGGCAGAGUAUCUGGUGAAGCUGAGGAACCAGCAGAUGGGAUCUCAUCCUGGAUGACUACAGGAGGAUCAGGCGGCGCAUUCUGGCCAAUGGGGCUGUUAUGCAGCAGACCACCCUGCAGCUGGUGGAUGUGAGCCACACCACACAAGAG
Clupea harengus (Atlantic herring) is the source of this 622-nucleotide long non-coding RNA. The record is from Ensembl. NCBI's taxonomy places the organism in Eukaryota, Metazoa, Chordata, Actinopteri, Clupeiformes, Clupeidae.